ACUAGGAUCUGCUACAUAAGCAAUUGGACCCAUACCCCAAAAACGAUAAUAUGAUAUCUCCCAGUA
RNAcentral lists this transfer RNA (66 nucleotides) under Trioceros pfefferi. RNAcentral's name for it is "tRNA-Met". Lineage: Eukaryota; Metazoa; Chordata; Lepidosauria; Squamata; Chamaeleonidae. The record is from RNAcentral.